RNAcentral lists this ribosomal RNA (108 nucleotides) under Clostridium muellerianum. Its description in RNAcentral is "Clostridium sp. P21 partial 23S ribosomal RNA". It matches the Rfam family "Bacterial large subunit ribosomal RNA", at positions 2821 to 2925 of the family's 2925-position model. The record is from RNAcentral. Lineage: Bacteria; Bacillati; Bacillota; Clostridia; Eubacteriales; Clostridiaceae.
UAAGCUAGUAAGACCCCUUGAAGAACACAAGGUUGAUAGGUCAGAGGUGUAAGCAUGGUAACAUGUUCAGCUGACUGAUACUAAUAGGUCGAGGGCUUGACCAAAUAA